This 429-nucleotide ribosomal RNA is filed under the name Actinomycetes bacterium. RNAcentral describes it as "Actinobacteria bacterium partial 16S ribosomal RNA". It matches the Rfam family "Bacterial small subunit ribosomal RNA", at positions 355 to 776 of the family's 1533-position model. Lineage: Bacteria; Bacillati; Actinomycetota; Actinomycetes. The record is from RNAcentral.
UAGGGAAUCUUCCGCAAUGGGCGAAAGCCUGACGGAGCAACGCCGCGUGAGUGAUGAAGGUCUUCGGAUCGUAAAACUCUGUUAUUAGGGAAGAACAAAUGUGUAAGUAACUAUGCACGUCUUGACGGUACCUAAUCAGAAAGCCACGGCUAACUACGUGCCAGCAGCCGCGGUAAUACGUAGGUGGCAAGCGUUAUCCGGAAUUAUUGGGCGUAAAGCGCGCGUAGGCGGUUUUUUAAGUCUGAUGUGAAAGCCCACGGCUCAACCGUGGAGGGUCAUUGGAAACUGGAAAACUUGAGUGCAGAAGAGGAAAGUGGAAUUCCAUGUGUAGCGGUGAAAUGCGCAGAGAUAUGGAGGAACACCAGUGGCGAAGGCGACUUUCUUGUCUGUAACUGACGCUGAUGUGCGAAAGCGUGGGGAUCAAACAGG